UAGGGAAUCUUCCACAAUGGACGCAAGUCUGAUGGAGCAACGCCGCGUGAGUGAAGAAGGUCUUCGGAUCGUAAAACUCUGUUGUUAGAGAAGAACACGAGUGAGAGUAACUGUUCAUUCGAUGACGGUAUCUAACCAGCAAGUCACGGCUAACUACGUGCCCA
This 164-nucleotide ribosomal RNA is filed under the name uncultured bacterium. Its description in RNAcentral is "partial 16S rRNA". It matches the Rfam family "Bacterial small subunit ribosomal RNA", at positions 355 to 511 of the family's 1533-position model. The record is from RNAcentral.